RNAcentral lists this ribosomal RNA (466 nucleotides) under uncultured bacterium. RNAcentral's name for it is "partial 16S ribosomal RNA". It matches the Rfam family "Bacterial small subunit ribosomal RNA", at positions 29 to 507 of the family's 1533-position model. The record is from RNAcentral.
AUGAACGCUGGCGGCGUGCUUAACACAUGCCAGUCGCACGAUGAAGCCCAGCUUGCUGGGUGGAUUAGUGGCGAACGGGUGAGUAACACGUGAGCAACCUGCCCCUGACUCUGGGAUAAGCGCUGGAAACGGCGUCUAAUACUGGAUAUGUCCCGUCACCGCAUGGUGUGCGGGUGGAAAGAUUUUUCGGUUGGGGAUGGGCUCGCGGCCUAUCAGCUUGUUGGUGAGGUAAUGGCUCACCAAGGCGUCGACGGGUAGCCGGCCUGAGAGGGUGACCGGCCACACUGGGACUGAGACACGGCCCAGACUCCUACGGGAGGCAGCAGUGGGGAAUAUUGCACAAUGGGCGGAAGCCUGAUGCAGCAACGCCGCGUGAGGGAUGACGGCCUUCGGGUUGUAAACCUCUUUUAGCAGGGAAGAAGCGAAAGUGACGGUACCUGCAGAAAAAGCACCGGCUAACUACGUG